This 909-nucleotide ribosomal RNA is filed under the name Lactiplantibacillus plantarum. RNAcentral's name for it is "bacterial SSU rRNA". It matches the Rfam family "Bacterial small subunit ribosomal RNA", at positions 66 to 938 of the family's 1533-position model. The record is from RNAcentral. Lineage: Bacteria; Bacillati; Bacillota; Bacilli; Lactobacillales; Lactobacillaceae.
ACGAACUCCUGGUAUUGAUUGGUGCUUGCAUCAUGAUUUACAUUUGAGUGAGUGGCGAACUGGUGAGUAACACGUGGGAAACCUGCCCAGAAGCGGGGGAUAACACCUGGAAACAGAUGCUAAUACCGCAUAACAACUUGGACCGCAUGGUCCGAGUUUGAAAGAUGGCUUCGGCUAUCACUUUUGGAUGGUCCCGCGGCGUAUUAGCUAGAUGGUGGGGUAACGGCUCACCAUGGCAAUGAUACGUAGCCGACCUGAGAGGGUAAUCGGCCACAUUGGGACUGAGACACGGCCCAAACUCCUACGGGAGGCAGCAGUAGGGAAUCUUCCACAAUGGACGAAAGUCUGAUGGAGCAACGCCGCGUGAGUGAAGAAGGGUUUCGGCUCGUAAAACUCUGUUGUUAAAGAAGAACAUAUCUGAGAGUAACUGUUCAGGUAUUGACGGUAUUUAACCAGAAAGCCACGGCUAACUACGUGCCAGCAGCCGCGGUAAUACGUAGGUGGCAAGCGUUGUCCGGAUUUAUUGGGCGUAAAGCGAGCGCAGGCGGUUUUUUAAGUCUGAUGUGAAAGCCUUCGGCUCAACCGAAGAAGUGCAUCGGAAACUGGGAAACUUGAGUGCAGAAGAGGACAGUGGAACUCCAUGUGUAGCGGUGAAAUGCGUAGAUUUAUGGAAGAACACCAGUGGCGAAAGCGGCUGUCUGGUCUGUAACUGACGCUAAGGCUCGAAAGUAUGGGUAGCAAACAGGAUUAGAUACCCUGGUAGUCCAUACCGUAAACGAUGAAUGCUAAGUGUUGGAGGGUUUCCGCCCUUCAGUGCUGCAGCUAACGCAUUAAGCAUUCCGCCGGGGGAGUACGGCCGCAAGGCUGAAACUCACAGGAAUUGACGGGGGCCCGCACAAGCGGUGGAGC